GGGCCCGCACAAGCGGUGGAGCAUGUGGUUUAAUUCGAUGAUACGCGAGGAACCUUACCAGGACUUAAAUGUAAGUUGCAUGAUUCAGAAAUGAAUCUUUCUUCGGACUACUUACAAGGUGCUGCAUGGUUGUCGUCAGCUCGUGCCGUGAGGUGUCAGGUUAAGUCCUAUAACGAGCGCAACCCCUAUCGUUAGUUGCCAUCAAGUAAAGUUGGGAACUCUAGCGAAACUGCCGGUGCAAACCGAGAGGAAGGUGGGGAUGACGUCAAAUCAUCACGGCCCUUACGUUCUGGGCUACACACGUGCUACAAUGGUCGGUACAGAAAGCAGCCACUAUGCGAAUAGGAGCUAAUCUCACAAAACCGGUCGUAGUCCGGAUUGCAGUCUGCAACUCGACUGCAUGAAGCUGGAAUCGCUAGUAAUCGCGGAU
This 430-nucleotide ribosomal RNA is filed under the name uncultured bacterium. RNAcentral's name for it is "bacterial SSU rRNA". It matches the Rfam family "Bacterial small subunit ribosomal RNA", at positions 917 to 1349 of the family's 1533-position model. The record is from RNAcentral.